Long non-coding RNA from Cyprinus carpio (common carp), 3136 nucleotides. Lineage: Eukaryota; Metazoa; Chordata; Actinopteri; Cypriniformes; Cyprinidae. The record is from Ensembl.
NNNNNNNNNNNNNNNNNNNNNNNNNNNNNNNNNNNNNNNNNNNNNNNNNNNNNNNNNNNNNNNNNNNNNNNNNNNNNNNNNNNNNNNNNNNNNNCAUUUCAUGUGUAAUCAUAUUUAGAAAAUAACAUAUCACAAAUAAUUAUAAUCUUUUACUAGUGUUAGAUUUUGCUCAGGUAGUAGAGCAAAGUUAAUGUGUUCUGUGUCAUUCAUAUAGGGCAUUUUUAAAUGAUUAGAAACUUGACAAGAUAUGAUAAACCUGAAUACUUGAGAAUGUUUUGUUCAUUGUACUGAAUGUUUUUUUUCAAUCUCAAUGUGUCAUUUUGUAGGAUGGAAAUUGUGGAGAUGACCUUUUGUACCCUGGAGCACCAAUUACCAAAGGUCAAAGUUUGCUCCUUCUAAUGGCUUACGUCCUGAGGCAUAACCUGACCGGGAUUGCACUGGACCAUCUUUUAAGAAUUUUUCAUGAACUUUUCCCUGCACUGAUACCAGCAACCUCAUAUCUCUUCCAUAAAUCCUAUGGCCAAUAUGGCGAGUAUGUGCCCCAUUUCUACUGCCAUCAGUGUUCAAAUUAUAUUGGAACAAAAGAAUGUGGUUUGACACAGUGUGUUCUGUGUGAGGCAGAAUUUGAUGUGGAAGCUAGUCUAGAAAAGGGUUCAUAUUUUUUGGUUAUCAGUUUAUCUUUGCAAAUUAAAGAGAUUCUGGAAAAUCCCAACAUCAAAAUCCAAAGACAUACAUCAACUCCAGGUUUUAUUUGUGAUGUGCAAUGUGGAGGGGAGUAUAGGAGGCUUAAAGAUAGUGGUGAAAUAGGUGAUGAUGACAUCAGUCUGAUCUGGAACAGUGAUGGGAUCCCUGUUUUUAAAAGCUCUAGAUGCCAAAUAUGGCCUAUUCAGUGCCAAAUCAUAGAGCUACACCCUACAGAUAGGAAGAACAACAUAUGUGUUCCUUGUCUUUGGUUUGGAGAGAGCAAGCCUAAUAUACAGACUCUCCUAAUUCCAUUUGUAAAAGAGCUACAGGAACUUCAAAGUAAUGGGAUCACCUGGGGAGAUGGUUGCACUUCAAAGGUGCAUGCACUUGUAUGUAGUGCAGAUUCAGUUGCAAGGCCACUUCUCCAAAAUAAGAAACAGUUUAAUGGCAUUUAUGGCUGUGACUUCUGUUACCACAGAGGUGGAGGCUCCUAUCCAUAUGUUAUUCCUGAACCCCGUCUUCGUACAGAAGUUGAGCAUUUUGACAAUGCCAUGAAUGCAACACCUCAGCAGCCCAUAAUGGGAGUGAAAGGCCCAAGUCAACUAAUGAAACUAGACAAAUUUCAAAUGGUGCAAGGCUUUGUUCCAGAAUAUCAGCAUAGUGUAUGCCUUGGAGUUACUAGACAGCUGACUUCUCUGUGGUUAGAUUCCACAAACCAUCAGCAUGGUUGGUACAUAGGCACCCAAACUGAGCAGAUCGACGAAGUGCUUAAAAAAAUUUCACCACCAACUGAGAUCACAAGAGUACCACGAUCUAUGCAAGAAAGGAAGUUCUGGAAGGCGUCUGAGUGGAGGUCGUUUCUUUUGUUUUAUGCUUUGCCUGUUUUAAAUGGCAUCCUCCCCAGAAAAUACUGGAAUCAUCUUUUCCUUUUGGUUUUUGCAGUAUAUCAUCUACUGCAAGAAAGGAUCAGAGAGGCCGAGGUGGUGAUAGCCGAGCAGGCAUUGAAAAAAUUUGUCAGGGAGUUUCAGGGGUUAUAUGGCACAGCAAAUGUGUCAUUUAAUGUGCACCUCAUGACACACUUGGCUGCGAGUGUGAGGAACUGGGGACCAUUGUGGGCCACAUCCACAUUUUCCUUUGAAUCUUUUAACGGCACCCUGUUGACAUAUUUCAAUGGCACAACUCAUGUCCCUGUCCAAAUAAUGAAAAGGUACCUUAGGGAAAGGAGUCUCACAAAGAAAGGAGCAACAGUUAUGCAUAAUGCCAAUGAGUAUGUCAAAGAUCUUUUCUAUGAACUACAGGGCAGAAAGUGUUCAACUGACAAAUCAGUUCAGAUCAGUGCCCAUGUCAGAGUUUUUGGUAAAUCAGUACAGAAAGAUGUCUCGGUUUUACACAUGCUUGCAAUAGAUGACCUACUAGGUGUUAGAGUGAAACAAGCCUCCUACUACAACCGUUUCAUUGUGAAUGGAAUACUGUAUCACUCUGACACAAACAACCGCCUACAGAAAAGAAUCAACUCUGUUGUUGAGUUGCAGAAUGGCACAUUAGUCAGAAUUGUGAAUAUGGUCGUUUCUGGUGCAACACACUGUGUUUUGGUCAAGGAGCUUGUUAAGUCUGGAAGGAAGCUGUGCAGAGACACAACACUUAAUAUUGCAUCAAGCUUCAUGUAUGAAGUGUCUGAGUGCAAUAUAGUGUAUGCCAUCCAUCCAGAGUCAUUGACACGCAAAUGUGUCAUGGUUGAAUCCAGGGAGAAGGUAUAUGUUAUUCCGCUGCCAAACAACAUUGAACGAGAUUAACGUGGCAUCAAGAAAAUUUAAUACUGCCAAGAAGUCCAAGAUUCCUGAGACCUAUUGAAUUGACUUGUAAAUACAAUAUCUGUACAAAGAAUUACUGUUCUUUACCUGUUACAUAAAGUGACCCUUCUGUCAAUCAAGUGUUUGUGCAUUAAUUCAAGAUGUAACAGUAAAAAAAUGAACUUGUCUUACUCACUGCAGCAUUGUAGCAUAUGACCCUUUAAGAAAUCAGCCUAACAAUGUCAAUACACUUUCCAUUAGUAGGCUACAGUAAAUUAAUAAAUGACUAAAUUUCCACUAAAAGUGUUUGCAUUUUAGCAUCUUUUGUGACAGUACUCUGAUAUGCUAAUAAAAGUACACUUAAAUUUUAGUGCACUUUGUUUACAGUCUACUAAGAUUACACUACAGAUGAAGUGAAAUCAGUGUACACUUUAAUAAAUUAUACUUUGUAUUACAAAUAAGCGUACUUACUAAAAGUACACUAAAUUACCACUAUACAUUUUUGUAUUUUAACAUAUUUUAUGAGAGUACUCUGAUAUGCCACUAGAAAUACACUUAUUUUAGAGUGUACUGUAUAAAGUGUACAGAAGUCACACUUCUAAUGAAGUCAGAACAUAGUACACUUUAAAAAAGUAUACUAACAAUUAAUUUNUUAUUAUUUU